This 509-nucleotide ribosomal RNA is filed under the name uncultured bacterium. RNAcentral describes it as "bacterial SSU rRNA". It matches the Rfam family "Bacterial small subunit ribosomal RNA", at positions 28 to 528 of the family's 1533-position model. The record is from RNAcentral.
GAUGAACGCUAGCGGGAGGCUUAACACAUGCAAGUCGAGGGGCAGCAUAGGGUAGCAAUACUCUGAUGGCGACCGGCAAACGGGUGAGUAACGCGUAUGCAACCUACCCUGUACAGGGGGAUAACCCGGAGAAAUUCGGACUAAUAUCCCGUAAUAAUAUCCGGAGGCAUCUUUGGAUAUUUAAAGUUCCGACGGUACGGGAUGGGCAUGCGUAACAUUAGCUGGUUGGUAAGGUAACGGCUUACCAAGGCUAUGAUGUUUAGGGGUCCUGAGAGGGUGGUCCCCCACACUGGUACUGAGACACGGACCAGACUCCUACGGGAGGCAGCAGUGAGGAAUAUUGGUCAAUGGGCGCAAGCCUGAACCAGCCAUCCCGCGUGCAGGAAGACGGCCCUAUGGGUUGUAAACUGCUUUUCCAGGGAGAGAAACUUACGCACGUGUUGCGUGACUGACGGUACCCUGGGAAUAAGCAUCGGCUAACUCCGUGCCAGCAGCCGCGGUAAACACUA